GAUGAAGAACGUAGCAAAAUGCGAUAAGUAAUGUGAAUUGCAGAAUUCAGUGAAUCAUCGAAUCUUUGAACGCACAUUGCGCCCUCUGGUAUUCCGGGGGGCAUGCCUGUUCGAGCGUCAUUAUAACCACUCAAGCUCUCGCUUGGUAUUGGGGUUCGCGGUUUCGCGGCCCCUAAAAUCAGUGGCGGUGCCUGUCGGCUCUACGCGUAGUAAUACUUCUCGCGAUUGAGUUCGAUAGGUCUACUUGCCAGUAACCCCCAAUUUUUACAGGUUGACCUCGGAUCAGGUAGGGAUACCCGCUGAACUUAAGCAUAUCAAUAAGCGGAGGA
This 329-nucleotide unclassified non-coding RNA is filed under the name soil metagenome. RNAcentral's name for it is "partial contains 5.8S ribosomal RNA, internal transcribed spacer 2, and large subunit ribosomal RNA". The stretch from base 1 to 120 matches the Rfam family "5.8S ribosomal RNA", at positions 35 to 154 of the family's 154-position model. The record is from RNAcentral.